Molecule: ribosomal RNA, 327 nt
Filed under: Triticum aestivum (bread wheat)
Lineage: Eukaryota; Viridiplantae; Streptophyta; Magnoliopsida; Poales; Poaceae
Description: partial small subunit ribosomal RNA
Source: RNAcentral
AUGCACAGGGAAGCCCGUGGCGACGGGCCGCAUGCUGGUGGGAGGAGAGGGGAUCCUCGCCAGGAUGGACGUUGGCUGCAGACCCGCGAGAGGACCUUCUUCCUCCCUGCCUCCAGUCCUCUUCCUUUGCUCACCGCCGCCGUGCACGUGUGGCCGCCGUUCGCCGAUGAGAUCCACGCGAGUUCCCACCACCACCAUCAACAUCUAGCACGCGUGGCUCCUCCUCUGCUUGUUCCAUCUACACAUCGGAGCACAUCCCAAACUGCAGAAGCGCCCCGGAUUUGCGUUCCCAUCUGCACAGCGGAGCACAGCCAAAACUCCACGUGA